GACGGGGACCCGCACAAGCGGUGGAUGAUGUGGUUUAAUUCGAUGCAACGCGAAAAACCUUACCCACCUUUGACAUGUACGGAAUUUGCCAGAGAUGGCUUAGUGCUCGAAAGAGAACCGUAACACAGGUGCUGCAUGGCUGUCGUCAGCUCGUGUCGUGAGAUGUUGGGUUAAGUCCCGCAACGAGCGCAACCCUUGUCAUUAGUUGCUACAUUUAGUUGGGCACUCUAAUGAGACUGCCGGUGACAAACCGGAGGAAGGUGGGGAUGACGUCAAGUCCUCAUGGCCCUUAUAGGUGGGGCUACACACGUCAUACAAUGGCUGGUACAGAGGGUUGCCAACCCGCGAGGGGGAGCUAAUCCCACAAAGCCAGUCGUAGUCCGGAUCGCAGUCUGCAACUCGACUGCGUGAAGUCGGAAUCGCUAGUAAUCGCGGAUCAGAAUGUCGCGGUGAAUACGUACCCGGGUCUUGUACACACCGCCCGUCACACCAUGGGAGCGGGUUCUGCCAGAAGUAGUUAGCCUAACCGCAAGGAGGGCGAUUACCACGGCAGGGUUCGUGACUGGGGUGAAGUCGUAACAAGGUAACCAAGGGCGAAUUCCAGCACACUGGCGGCCGUUACUAGUGAUCCGAGCUCGUACCAAAGGCAC
This 650-nucleotide ribosomal RNA is filed under the name uncultured beta proteobacterium. RNAcentral describes it as "bacterial SSU rRNA". It matches the Rfam family "Bacterial small subunit ribosomal RNA", at positions 912 to 1533 of the family's 1533-position model. Lineage: Bacteria; Pseudomonadati; Pseudomonadota; Betaproteobacteria. The record is from RNAcentral.